AGUGUGCGGUGGGCCUCUCUGUCUCCAGGCAGAACAGCAGGUCCUUGAGGUUGAUGCGUGUGAUGCGCUGCCGCGUUGGUCUGGACCCCGACGACCCCGCACCCAGCGAAGACCCCGAUCCAGAGCCCUGGAAACCAAUGACCAAUCACCCGAAGCAGUGUGUAGAGGAUAUCAAAUCGUCAACGGCUUCAGGUAGGUUUCACAAUUCACGGCAACAAUAACGUGCAUGAGCUUGAGUCACGGCAGGUCAAUCUAAUUACUUUACAUAGUGCGCUGUGCCAUGCCCAGCUCAGCUUGUCGUAGAGCCAUGCUGUACCAUGCACUUAACGCUGUCGGGAUUGUUACGCAUUGACAGUCAAGGCUCAUGAGCUACGUUUGGCUUCAGUUGUUCACCAUUACCUCGGCUGCCCCAGCGGAGGCCGACGCGUCCGCAGGCUUCCUGGGCUUCCUGGGGCCGAUGGCCGCCAGGGCGGUGAGGUUGGCCUCUUUCUGUCGCAUCAUGGCCAGCUCCUGCUGCUGCAUCUGGAGGACGACAUCCCGGCCAAGCAGAGGAAGAGCUUUAAAAACUUGUGGGAAACACAGAGAGCCGCGCGGAGCCGGAGCCGGGCUCGCUCUGGGCCUACCUCCUUGGCCUUCUGUUUGAGGCGCAGCUGCUCAGGGUCCUCCUGGCGGGCUCGAGACUGCAGGCCAGAGAACACAGUCACUGUAUGGUUCAGAGUUCACUGGAGGACAGAUUACAUCUUACAGGCCAUUUACACCCCAAUCAGGUGACUUCACAUUUGAAUCCUUUAUACUUGAAUAACGACAAGGUGUGAUUACUUUAAAACUACUUACUACUUUUCAGGUACGAUAAUAUGUGAUUAAUUCAUAUCACAGUCAAUGCAAUCUGUGCAUGCAACAUUCUUUUAAAUAAUUUUCCCGUCUGACGUUUGCACGUGUGUGUUGAGUUUCCCCAGAAAAAUAGACAAUUCUUUUAGAUAACUCCCCUGAUUUUAUAGAAAGUAUGCAUAGAUUCGUGGAAUUUGAAGGUGGAGGUGAGGUUACCUUAGCUGCCUUGAGAAGGAUCUGUCUCUCCUGCCCCUCCUUUCUCUGUUUCUCCAGCUGGUCAAGCUGCUCAAAGAAGCGUAACUGGGCACGCACGUCACUGCUACCCUCAUAGCUGCUCUCCUCCUGAACCACAGAGGACCAAUCACACGCCGAACGGGGGAGGUAGUAUAGUGAACCAUCAAGGGGAUGAAUGGAGAAAAAUCUGAUGUAUAUUUAUAACCACAUCUUAAAUCAAUCCAGCCAGCUGAGGUCCUUUUAUUGACUGGUCUUUUGACUUAAUUUUCCAUCGUUUUUUUAAAUUAGGAACCAACCUUGAAGCUGAAGUUCUUGUGUUGUGCCACCUGAGUCACCUUUUCCAGAAGGUUCUGGAGACUCUGCUGAGUGGCGUGAGAUACAAACGUCACCACGUCAACGCCCAGCUCGCUCACACCAAACUUCUUCCCUGAAACAAAGACAACAUGAGUCAAAAAUAGAGCAGUUGAAGCAUCCUCCUCUGCAGCACGGCUGUAGAGAGGAAGGCCUCGUCCUUACAGGAGUGUGUCACUGCCCCCACCAGCUCAGAGUUGGUUGCUAGGAUACGUGCACUCUCCUCCGUCAGGUUGACUCCUGCCAUGGAGGCCACGUCGUUGAUGUCAUCCUCGUCCCUGGACACAAACACAUGGUCCCUAGGUAUAGUAUUUACUACAACUACCUCCGGACACAAUUGCUUGAUCAUGGAUCUGUAAGCGCUUUACUAAUCCACACCGUGUAGACUGACCACUGUAUAAAUUAAAUCCUCUUCUGAAUGCUUGGUCUGCCAUUCAGUAUCUCUUGGGUAGAAUAUCUCCUUAAUGAACAGGAAACCAGGUGGAACUCCGCCCCUUCGGUUUUGGCUUUCCAGCCCAAUCUCUCUGAACUGUCUCCCCCAAGAAGUUCGUCUUUAACAUAGAAUGAUUGCUGGAUCCCCUUACCCUAUCUAGCCUUUAGUCCAGCUAGCCGAUCGCACUGCCAGCAAUGAUCACAACGAUGCUCACAGGAGGUUAAGACUUUAUAAACAGUUAUCGUCUUUGGAAGAGUGCUUACCAAAUGAUUAACAUUUACAUUUUUCAUUUUUUCUUCUGAUCAAACUUCAAAAAAGUAAGGACAAAGUACUUUUGUCCUUACUUGAAAGUCCCCCCAGCCUCUUUCAGAUGGUUCUUCUGUGCAAGAGAUGCAGCGGCAGGUGGAACAGAUUUAAACACAGGCAGGAGGCCUGUCCUUCCGGGAGGACCUACAGGGAAAACAGAGGUAUCUGCAUCACACCGACACACGGACCAGACACAUCUCUGGCAGAGGAGGCAGGUGGACCGACCUGAGGUCAGCUGCCUGAGCUGCUGGGGUCCCACGAGGAUCUUUCCAGGGCUCUGGGUCCUGGGCGUCACCAUAGGUGCUGUUGCCAUGUUAACCGGCGGUCGCAUCCCUACCGCCAGCGGCUGAGGUUGGAGAAGCUUUAACAGGUUGAAGAGUAAAUAUACGAUUAUAUGACAGCUUCUAUCAACCAACACACAGUGUUAAAGAACCAACGUUUAAAAUUUGGCUGUCGAUUCAGUUCAGUCCAAAACAAAAUAGGGGGUAGUGUAUUACCAGAAAGUUGUGGUGUCCAACGCAGGACAUGGCAUCAGGCUAACAGUUCACAGUGACAAGUAAAGCUACCUAUUUUUCUCAGAGUGAACCAUUAUGUUAGAGCCAAUCUUACAUUCCUCAGUGUACCUUUGACGUGAUUGACAACAGGUGAGAAUACGCCCUCCAGGCCGUGCUACUUCUUCAGAUUUGACCGAAUUCAGAAUACUAAUGAUGGAGUUUGGGUCGGGGCCCUCCAGAACUACAGAUACCGUUUGGUUUACGGGUCCGGGUCUGCUGAUGUCCGGCUGGACCUGGGGCCUGGUUAC
Molecule: long non-coding RNA, 2954 nt
Organism: Gadus chalcogrammus (walleye pollock)
Lineage: Eukaryota; Metazoa; Chordata; Actinopteri; Gadiformes; Gadidae
Exons: 3
Source: RefSeq, a predicted model, not a curated record